AGAUCCUGAAACCGUGUGCCUACAAAUAGUCAGAGCCCGUUAAUGGGUGAUGGCGUGCCUUUUGUAGAAUGAACCGGCGAGUUACGAUCCCGUGCGAGGUUAAGUUGAAGAGACGGAGCCGCAGCGAAAGCGAGUCUGAAUAGGGCGUUUAGUACGUGGUCGUAGACCCGAAACCAGGUGAUCUACCCAUGUCCAGGGUGAAGUUCAGGUAACACUGAAUGGAGGCCCGAACCCACGCACGUUGAAAAGUGCGGGGAUGAGGUGUGGGUAGCGGAGAAAUUCCAAUCGAACCUGGAGAUAGCUGGUUCUCCCCGAAAUAGCUUUAGGGCUAGCCUUAAGUGUAAGAGUCUUGGAGGUAGAGCACUGAUUGAACUAGGGGUCCUCAUCGGAUUACCGAAUUCAGUCAAACUCCGAAUGCCAAUGACUUAUCCUUAGGAGUCAGACUGCGAGUGAUAAGAUCCGUAGUCAAGAGGGAAACAGCCCAGAUCGCCAGCUAAGGUCCCAAAGUGUGUAUUAAGUGGAAAAGGAUGUGGAGUUGCUUAGACAACUAGGAUGUUGGCUUAGAAGCAGCCACCAUUUAAAGAGUGCGUAAUAGCUCACUAGUCGAGUGACUCUGCGCCGAAAAUGUACCGGGGCUAAAUACACCACCGAAGCUGCGAAUUGAUACCAAUGGUAUCAGUGGUAGGGGAGCGUUCUAAGUGCAGUGAAGUCAGACCGGAAGGACUGGUGGAGCGCUUAGAAGUGAGAAUGCCGGUAUGAGUAGCGAAAGACGGGUGAGAAUCCCGUCCACCGAAUGCCUAAGGUUUCCUGAGGAAGGCUCGUCCGCUCAGGGUUAGUCAGGACCUAAGCCGAGGCCGACAGGCGUAGGCGAUGGACAACAGGUUGAUAUUCCUGUACCACCUCUUUAUCGUUUGAGCAAUGGAGGGACGCAGAAGGAUAGAAGAAGCGUGCGAUUGGUUGUGCACGUCCAAGCAGUUAGGCUGAUAAGUAGGCAAAUCCGCUUAUCGUGAAGGCUGAGCUGUGAUGGGGAAGCUCCUUAUGGAGCGAAGUCUUUGAUUCCCCGCUGCCAAGAAAAGCUUCUAGCGAGAUAAAAGGUGCCUGUACCGCAAACCGACACAGGUAGGCGAGGAGAGAAUCCUAAGGUGUGCGAGAGAACUCUGGUUAAGGAACUCGGCAAAAUGACCCCGUAACUUCGGGAGAAGGGGUGCUUUCUUAACGGAAAGCCGCAGUGAAUAGGCCCAAGCGACUGUUUAGCAAAAACACAGGUCUCUGCGAAGCCGUAAGGCGAAGUAUAGGGGCUGACACCUGCCCGGUGCUGGAAGGUUAAGGAGAGGGGUUAGCGUAAGCGAAGCUCUGAACUGAAGCCCCAGUAAACGGCGGCCGUAACUAUAACGGUCCUAAGGUAGCGAAAUUCCUUGUCGGGUAAGUUCCGACCCGCACGAAAGGUGUAACGAUUUGGGCACUGUCUCAACCAGAGACUCGGUGAAAUUAUAGUACCUGUGAAGAUGCAGGUUACCCGCGACAGGACGGAAAGACCCCGUGGAGCUUUACUGUAGCCUGAUAUUGAAUUUUGGUACAGUUUGUACAGGAUAGGCGGGAGCCAUUGAAACCGGAGCGCUAGCUUCGGUGGAGGCGCUGGUGGGAUACCGCCCUGACUGUAUUGAAAUUCUAACCUACGGGUCUUAUCGACCCGGGAGACAGUGUCAGGUGGGCAGUUUGACUGGGGCGGUCGCCUCCUAAAGUGUAACGGAGGCGCCCAAAGGUUCCCUCAGAAUGGUUGGAAAUCAUUCGUAGAGUGCAAAGGCAUAAGGGAGCUUGACUGCGAGACCUACAAGUCGAGCAGGGACGAAAGUCGGGCUUAGUGAUCCGGUGGUUCCGCAUGGAAGGGCCAUCGCUCAACGGAUAAAAGCUACCCCGGGGAUAACAGGCUUAUCUCCCCCAAGAGUCCACAUCGACGGGGAGGUUUGGCACCUCGAUGUCGGCUCAUCGCAUCCUGGGGCUGUAGUCGGUCCCAAGGGUUGGGCUGUUCGCCCAUUAAAGCGGUACGCGAGCUGGGUUCAGAACGUCGUGAGACAGUUCGGUCCCUAUCCGUCGUGGGCGUAGGAAAUUUGAGAGGAGCUGUCCUUAGUACGAGAGGACCGGGAUGGACGCACCGCUGGUGUACCAGUUGUUCUGCCAAGGGCAUAGCUGGGUAGCUAUGUGCGGAAGGGAUAAGUGCUGAAAGCAUCUAAGCAUGAAGCCCCCCUCAAGAUGAGAUUUCCCAUAGCGUAAGCUAGUAAGAUCCCUGAAAGAUGAUCAGGUUGAUAGGUUCGAGGUGGAAGCAUGGUGACAUGUGGAGCUGACGAAUACUAAUAGAUCGAGGACUUAACCAU
Molecule: ribosomal RNA, 2372 nt
Filed under: Bacillus toyonensis
Lineage: Bacteria; Bacillati; Bacillota; Bacilli; Caryophanales; Bacillaceae
Also listed under: 1 other name
Description: 23S ribosomal RNA
Rfam family: Bacterial large subunit ribosomal RNA
Source: RNAcentral